Molecule: ribosomal RNA, 406 nt
Filed under: uncultured bacterium
Lineage: Bacteria
Description: partial 16S ribosomal RNA
Rfam family: Bacterial small subunit ribosomal RNA
Source: RNAcentral
AUUGAACGCUGGCGGCAGGCCUAACACAUGCAAGUCGAACGAGCGGCGGACGGGUGAGUAAUGUCUGGGUAACUGCCUGAUGGAGGGGGAUAACUACUGGAAACGGUAGCUAAUACCGCAUACCAUCAGAUGUGCCCAGAUGGGAUUAGCUAGUUGGUGGGGUAACGGCUCACCUAGGCGACGAUCCCUAGCUGGUCUGAGAGGAUGACCAGCCACACUGGACCUGAGAAACGGGCCAUACUCCAACGAGAGGCAGCAGGGGGGAAUAUUGCACAAUGGGCGCAGGCCUGAUGCAGCCAUGCCGCGUGUAUGAAGAAGGCCUUCGGGUUGUAAAGUACUUUCAGCGGGGAGGCGUUACCCGCAGAAGAAGCACCGGCUAACUCCGUGCCAGCAGCCGCGGUAAUUC